UGCAAGUCGAGCGGAGUGAUGGUGCUUGCACUAUCACUUAGCGGCGGACGGGUGAGUAAUGCUUAGGAAUCUGCCUAUUAGUGGGGGACAACAUUUCGAAAGGAAUGCUAAUACCGCAUACGUCCUACGGGAGAAAGCAGGGGAUCUUCGGACCUUGCGCUAAUAGAUGAGCCUAAGUCGGAUUAGCUAGUUGGUGGGGUAAAGGCCUACCAAGGCGACGAUCUGUAGCGGGUCUGAGAGGAUGAUCCGCCACACUGGGACUGAGACACGGCCCAGACUCCUACGGGAGGCAGCAGUGGGGAAUAUUGGACAAUGGGCGCAAGCCUGAUCCAGCCAUGCCGCGUGUGUGAAGAAGGCCUUAUGGUUGUAAAGCACUUUAAGCGAGGAGGAGGCUACUGAAGUUAAUACCUUCAGAUAGUGGACGUUACUCGCAGAAUAAGCACCGGCUAACUCUGUGCCAGCAGCCGCGGUAAUACAGAGGGUGCAAGCGUUAAUCGGAUUUACUGGGCGUAAAGCGCGCGUAGGCGGCUAAUUAAGUCAAAUGUGAAAUCCCCGAGCUUAACUUGGGAAUUGCAUUCGAUACUGGUUAGCUAGAGUGUGGGAGAGGAUGGUAGAAUUCCAGGUGUAGCGGUGAAAUGCGUAGAGAUCUGGAGGAAUACCGAUGGCGAAGGCAGCCAUCUGGCCUAACACUGACGCUGAGGUGCGAAAGCAUGGGGAGCAAACAGGAUUAGAUACCCUGGUAGUCCAUGCCGUAAACGAUGUCUACUAGCCGUUGGGGCCUUUGAGGCUUUAGUGGCGCAGCUAACGCGAUAAGUAGACCGCCUGGGGAGUACGGUCGCAAGACUAAAACUCAAAUGAAUUGACGGGGGCCCGCACAAGCGGUGGAGCAUGUGGUUUAAUUCGAUGCAACGCGAAGAACCUUACCUGGCCUUGACAUAGUAAGAACUUUCC
This 951-nucleotide ribosomal RNA is filed under the name Acinetobacter calcoaceticus. RNAcentral's name for it is "bacterial SSU rRNA". It matches the Rfam family "Bacterial small subunit ribosomal RNA", at positions 56 to 1001 of the family's 1533-position model. Lineage: Bacteria; Pseudomonadati; Pseudomonadota; Gammaproteobacteria; Moraxellales; Moraxellaceae. The record is from RNAcentral.